Molecule: ribosomal RNA, 497 nt
Filed under: uncultured bacterium
Lineage: Bacteria
Description: partial 16S ribosomal RNA
Rfam family: Bacterial small subunit ribosomal RNA
Source: RNAcentral
GAUGAACGCUGGCGGCGUGCCUAAUACAUGCAAGUCGAGCGAACGGACGAGAAGCUUGCUUCUCUGAUGUUAGCGGCGGACGGGUGAGUAACACGUGGAUAACCUACCUAUAAGACUGGGAUAACUUCGGGAAACCGUAGCUAAUACCGGAUAAUAUUUUGAACCGCAUGGUUCAAAAGUGAAAGACGGUCUUGCUGUCACUUAUAGAUGGAUCCGCGCUGCAUUAGCUAGUUGGUAAGGUAACGGCUUACCAAGGCAACGAUGCAUAGCCGACCUGAGAGGGUGAUCGGCCACACUGGAACUGAGACACGGUCCAGACUCCUACGGGAGGCAGCAGUAGGGAAUCUUCCGCAAUGGGCGAAAGCCUGACGGAGCAACGCCGCGUGAGUGAUGAAGGUCUUCGGAUCGUGAAACUCUGUUAUUAGGGAAGAACAUAUGUGUAAGUAACUGUGCACAUCUUGACGGUACCUAAUCAGAAAGCCACGGCUAACUACGUG